GUGUCAGCCGCCGCGGUAAUACGGAGGAUCCAAGCGUUAUCCGGAUUUAUUGGGUUUAAAGGGUGCGUAGGCGGACCUUUAAGUCAGUGGUGAAAGUUUGCGGCUCAACCGUAAAAUUGCCAUUGAAACUGAAGGUCUUGAGUGUAAAUAAGGUAGGCGGAAUGUGUUGUGUAGCGGUGAAAUGCUUAGAUAUAACACAGAACACCAAUUGCGAAGGCAGCUUACUGGGAUACAACUGACGCUGAGGCACGAAAGCGUGGGGAUCAAACAGGAUUAGAAACCCCAGUAGUCC
Molecule: ribosomal RNA, 292 nt
Filed under: uncultured bacterium
Lineage: Bacteria
Description: partial 16S ribosomal RNA
Rfam family: Bacterial small subunit ribosomal RNA
Source: RNAcentral